This 430-nucleotide ribosomal RNA is filed under the name uncultured bacterium. Its description in RNAcentral is "bacterial SSU rRNA". It matches the Rfam family "Bacterial small subunit ribosomal RNA", at positions 30 to 496 of the family's 1533-position model. The record is from RNAcentral.
AUUGAACGCUGGCGGUAUGCUUAAGACAUGCAAGUCGAACGGUAACAGGUUAAGCUGACGAGUGGCGGACGAGUGAGUAACGCGUGGGAAUCUACCUUGUAGUGGGGGAUAAGCCAGGGAAACUUGGACUAAUACCGCAUACGCCCUAAGGGGAAAGGCGCAAGUCGCUAUAAGAUGAGCCCGCGUCUGAUUAGGUAGUUGGUGGGGUAAAGGCCUACCAAGCCGACGAUCAGUAGCUGGUCUGAGAGGAUGAUCAGCCACGUCGGGACUGAGACACGGCCCGGACUCCUACGGGAGGCAGCAGUCGGGAAUAUUGGACAAUGGGGGAAACCCGUCGAUCCAGCAAUACCGCGUGUGUGAAGAAGGCCUGCGGGUUGUAAAGCACUUUCAGUUGGGAGGAUAAUGACGUUACCAACAGAAGAAGCACCGG